GGGUUGUGAGGUUAAGCGACUAAGCGUACACGGUGGAUGCCCUGGCAGUCAGAGGCGAUGAAGGACGUGCUAAUCUGCGAUAAGCGUCGGUAAGGUGAUAUGAACCGUUAUAACCGGCGAUUUCCGAAUGGGGAAACCCAGUGUGAUUCGUCACACUAUCAUUAACUGAAUCCAUAGGUUAAUGAGGCGAACCGGGGGAACUGAAACAUCUAAGUACCCCGAGGAAAAGAAAUCAACCGAGAUUCCCCCAGUAGCGGCGAGCGAACGGGGAGCAGCCCAGAGCCUGAAUCAGUGUGUGUGUUAGUGGAAGCGUCUGGAAAGGCGCGCGAUACAGGGUGACAGCCCCGUACACAAAAAUGCACAUGCUGUGAGCUCGAUGAGUAGGGCGGGACACGUGGUAUCCUGUCUGAAUAUGGGGGGACCAUCCUCCAAGGCUAAAUACUCCUGACUGACCGAUAGUGAACCAGUACCGUGAGGGAAAGGCGAAAAGAACCCCGGCGAGGGGAGUGAAAAAGAACCUGAAACCGUGUACGUACAAGCAGUGGGAGCACGCUUAGGCGUGUGACUGCGUACCUUUUGUAUAAUGGGUCAGCGACUUAUAUUCUGUAGCAAGGUUAACCGAAUAGGGGAGCCGAAGGGAAACCGAGUCUUAACUGGGCGUUAAGUUGCAGGGUAUAGACCCGAAACCCGGUGAUCUAGCCAUGGGCAGGUUGAAGGUUGGGUAACACUAACUGGAGGACCGAACCGACUAAUGUUGAAAAAUUAGCGGAUGACUUGUGGCUGGGGGUGAAAGGCCAAUCAAACCGGGAGAUAGCUGGUUCUCCCCGAAAGCUAUUUAGGUAGCGCCUCGUGAAUUCAUCUCCGGGGGUAGAGCACUGUUUCGGCAAGGGGGUCAUCCCGACUUACCAACCCGAUGCAAACUGCGAAUACCGGAGAAUGUUAUCACGGGAGACACACGGCGGGUGCUAACGUCCGUCGUGAAGAGGGAAACAACCCAGACCGCCAGCUAAGGUCCCAAAGUCAUGGUUAAGUGGGAAACGAUGUGGGAAGGCCCAGACAGCCAGGAUGUUGGCUUAGAAGCAGCCAUCAUUUAAAGAAAGCGUAAUAGCUCACUGGUCGAGUCGGCCUGCGCGGAAGAUGUAACGGGGCUAAACCAUGCACCGAAGCUGCGGCAGCGACGCUUAUGCGUUGUUGGGUAGGGGAGCGUUCUGUAAGCCUGCGAAGGUGUGCUGUGAGGCAUGCUGGAGGUAUCAGAAGUGCGAAUGCUGACAUAAGUAACGAUAAAGCGGGUGAAAAGCCCGCUCGCCGGAAGACCAAGGGUUCCUGUCCAACGUUAAUCGGGGCAGGGUGAGUCGACCCCUAAGGCGAGGCCGAAAGGCGUAGUCGAUGGGAAACAGGUUAAUAUUCCUGUACUUGGUGUUACUGCGAAGGGGGGACGGAGAAGGCUAUGUUGGCCGGGCGACGGUUGUCCCGGUUUAAGCGUGUAGGCUGGUUUUCCAGGCAAAUCCGGAAAAUCAAGGCUGAGGCGUGAUGACGAGGCACUACGGUGCUGAAGCAACAAAUGCCCUGCUUCCAGGAAAAGCCUCUAAGCAUCAGGUAACAUCAAAUCGUACCCCAAACCGACACAGGUGGUCAGGUAGAGAAUACCAAGGCGCUUGAGAGAACUCGGGUGAAGGAACUAGGCAAAAUGGUGCCGUAACUUCGGGAGAAGGCACGCUGAUAUGUAGGUGAAGUCCCUCGCGGAUGGAGCUGAAAUCAGUCGAAGAUACCAGCUGGCUGCAACUGUUUAUUAAAAACACAGCACUGUGCAAACACGAAAGUGGACGUAUACGGUGUGACGCCUGCCCGGUGCCGGAAGGUUAAUUGAUGGGGUCAGCGCAAGCGAAGCUCUUGAUCGAAGCCCCGGUAAACGGCGGCCGUAACUAUAACGGUCCUAAGGUAGCGAAAUUCCUUGUCGGGUAAGUUCCGACCUGCACGAAUGGCGUAAUGAUGGCCAGGCUGUCUCCACCCGAGACUCAGUGAAAUUGAACUCGCUGUGAAGAUGCAGUGUACCCGCGGCAAGACGGAAAGACCCCGUGAACCUUUACUAUAGCUUGACACUGAACAUUGAGCCUUGAUGUGUAGGAUAGGUGGGAGGCUUUGAAGUGUGGACGCCAGUCUGCAUGGAGCCGACCUUGAAAUACCACCCUUUAAUGUUUGAUGUUCUAACGUUGACCCGUAAUCCGGGUUGCGGACAGUGUCUGGUGGGUAGUUUGACUGGGGCGGUCUCCUCCUAAAGAGUAACGGAGGAGCACGAAGGUUGGCUAAUCCUGGUCGGACAUCAGGAGGUUAGUGCAAUGGCAUAAGCCAGCUUGACUGCGAGCGUGACGGCGCGAGCAGGUGCGAAAGCAGGUCAUAGUGAUCCGGUGGUUCUGAAUGGAAGGGCCAUCGCUCAACGGAUAAAAGGUACUCCGGGGAUAACAGGCUGAUACCGCCCAAGAGUUCAUAUCGACGGCGGUGUUUGGCACCUCGAUGUCGGCUCAUCACAUCCUGGGGCUGAAGUAGGUCCCAAGGGUAUGGCUGUUCGCCAUUUAAAGUGGUACGCGAGCUGGGUUUAGAACGUCGUGAGACAGUUCGGUCCCUAUCUGCCGUGGGCGCUGGAGAACUGAGGGGGGCUGCUCCUAGUACGAGAGGACCGGAGUGGACGCAUCACUGGUGUUCGGGUUGUCAUGCCAAUGGCACUGCCCGGUAGCUAAAUGCGGAAGAGAUAAGUGCUGAAAGCAUCUAAGCACGAAACUUGCCCCGAGAUGAGUUCUCCCUGACCCUUUAAGGGUCCUGAAGGAACGUUGAAGACGACGACGUUGAUAGGCCGGGUGUGUAAGCGCAGCGAUGCGUUGAGCUAACCGGUACUAAUGAACCGUGAGGCUUAACCUUACAACGCCGAAGGUGUUU
Molecule: ribosomal RNA, 2931 nt
Filed under: Escherichia coli
Lineage: Bacteria; Pseudomonadati; Pseudomonadota; Gammaproteobacteria; Enterobacterales; Enterobacteriaceae
Description: 23S ribosomal RNA
Rfam family: Bacterial large subunit ribosomal RNA
Source: RNAcentral